RNAcentral lists this ribosomal RNA (228 nucleotides) under uncultured bacterium. Its description in RNAcentral is "partial 16S ribosomal RNA". It matches the Rfam family "Bacterial small subunit ribosomal RNA", at positions 118 to 346 of the family's 1533-position model. The record is from RNAcentral.
UGAGCAAUCUGCCCUUCUCAUCGGAAUAAGCGUUGGAAACGACGUCUAAUGCCGAAUACGACCUCCUUUCGCAUGAUCGGAGGUGGAAAGCUCCGGCGGAGAAGGAUGAGCUCGCGGCCUAUCAGCUAGUUGGUGUGGGUAACGGCCCACCAAGGCGACGACGGGUAGCUGGUCUGAGAGGAUGGCCAGCCACAUUGGGACUGAGAUACGGCCCAGACCUCUACGGGA